AGGUCUCUCUUGGAGAUGGCCUAAGAUGAAGUGUAGGAUCUAUUUUUAUUAGUUUAAUAUCUGAUACGUAGGCUAUGUGUCUACGUUGAUAUUAAAUUUAUUUUUUAGAAGAGAGUCUAUCAUAGUGACUUGCCAUUGGAAUCCUCAUGUGUCAUCUAGGUGUUGCACUACAGUCUAGGCUUGGUGCACCGCAA
Molecule: small nuclear RNA, 194 nt
Organism: Phragmites australis (common reed)
Lineage: Eukaryota; Viridiplantae; Streptophyta; Magnoliopsida; Poales; Poaceae
Product: U2 spliceosomal RNA
Exons: 1
Source: RefSeq, a predicted model, not a curated record